Drosophila sulfurigaster albostrigata is the source of this 381-nucleotide long non-coding RNA. RefSeq lists it as uncharacterized. Lineage: Eukaryota; Metazoa; Arthropoda; Insecta; Diptera; Drosophilidae. The transcript is spliced from 2 exons. The record is from RefSeq and is a predicted model, not a curated record.
UUUUCUCUAUUUAAUUUAUCAUAUUUAAUUUUGAUGUUCAUUUAUUUACUUGUAAAUCAUGUUUAAACCACUGUGCUGUACCAACAAACAAUAAUAAUAGUAACAAUAUAGGCGGAAGCAAAACAGUACUAAAAGGUAUAGGCCUGACCCAAAAGUUAGGGUAUCAGCCGACAGCUCAUAUGCUGUUUGGGAGCUUUCGCAACUGCGAAGAAGUAUGAAAAAUACAAUGCAAGCAAAACUGUGGGCAGCUGCUGCGUGGCCGAACAGGCACCAACAUAUGUAUAACUCCACGACGAAGGCCUUCAUGAUGUUGUUGCUGUUGGUGAUGAUGAUGUUGAUGAUGAUGAUGAUUUUAAUGAUGAUGAUAAAAAUGAUUGUUUA